UUGACCUCGGAUCAGGUAGGACUACCCGCUGAACUUAAGCAUAUCAAUAAGCGGAGGAAAAAGAACCAACAGGGAUUGCCCCAGUAACGGCGAGUGAAGCGGCAACAGCUCAGAUUUGGAAUCUGGCCCCCAGGGCCCGAGUUGUAAUCUGGAGAGGAUGCUUCUGGCGGGCGCCUUCCGAGUUCCCUGGAACGGGACGCCGGAGAGGGUGAGAGCCCCGUACGGUCGGACGCCCAGCCUUUGUGAAGCUCCUUCGACGAGUCGAGUAGUUUGGGAAUGCUGCUCAAAAUGGGAGGUAAAUUUCUUCUAAAGCUAAAUAUUGGCCAGAGACCGAUAGCGCACAAGUAGAGUGAUCGAAAGAUGAAAAGCACUUUGAAAAGAGGGUUAACCAGUACGUGAAAUUGUUGAAAGGAAG
Molecule: ribosomal RNA, 415 nt
Filed under: Leptographium ponderosum
Lineage: Eukaryota; Fungi; Ascomycota; Sordariomycetes; Ophiostomatales; Ophiostomataceae
Description: eukaryotic LSU rRNA
Rfam family: Eukaryotic large subunit ribosomal RNA
Source: RNAcentral